GACGAACGCUGGCGGCGUGCUUAACACAUGCAAGUCGAACGGAGCGAAUGAAAGCUUGCUUUUAUGAGCUUAGUGGCAAACGGGUGAGUAACACGUAGACAACCUGCCGACAGGAUGGGGACAACAUUCCGAAAGGAAUGCUAAUACCGAAUGAAGUCGAGGGAAGGCAUCUUCCUUCGAUGAAAGAUGGCCUCUGAAUAUGCUAUCACCUGUUGAUGGGUCUGCGUCUGAUUAGCUGGUAGGUGAGGUAACGGCUCACCUAGGCGACGAUCAGUAGCCGGUCUGAGAGGAUGAACGGCCACAUUGGGACUGAGACACGGCCCAGACUCCUACGGGAGGCAGCAGUGGGGAAUCUUCCGCAAUGGGCGCAAGCCUGACGGAGCAACGCCGCGUGAGUGAAGAGGGUCUUCGGAUCGUAAAGCUCUGUUGACGGGGACGAACGUACGGAGUGCAAAUAGU
This 459-nucleotide ribosomal RNA is filed under the name Selenomonas sp. oral taxon F21. RNAcentral's name for it is "bacterial SSU rRNA". It matches the Rfam family "Bacterial small subunit ribosomal RNA", at positions 28 to 467 of the family's 1533-position model. Lineage: Bacteria; Bacillati; Bacillota; Negativicutes; Selenomonadales; Selenomonadaceae. The record is from RNAcentral.